AUUGAACGCUGGCGGCAGGCCUAACACAUGCAAGUCGAGCGAGCGGCGGACGGGUGAGUAAUGUCUGGGAAACUUCCUGAUGGAGGGGGAUAACUACUGUAAACGGUAUCUAAUACCGCAUACCAUCAGAUGUGCCCAGAUGGGAUUAGCUAGGAGGUGGGGUAAUGGCCGACCUAGGCGACGAUCCCUACCUGGUCUGAGAGGAUGACCAGCAAGACUGGAACUGAGACAAGGUUCAGACUCCUACGGGAGGCAGCAGUGGGGAAUAGUGCACAAGGGGCGCAAGCCGGAUGCAGCCAUGCCGAGUGUGUGAAGAAGGCAUUCGGGUUGUAAAGCACUUUCAGCGGGGAGGCGUUACCCGCAGAAGAAGCACCGGCUAACUCCGUGCCAGCAGCCGCGGUAAUAC
RNAcentral lists this ribosomal RNA (406 nucleotides) under uncultured bacterium. Its description in RNAcentral is "partial 16S ribosomal RNA". It matches the Rfam family "Bacterial small subunit ribosomal RNA", at positions 30 to 526 of the family's 1533-position model. The record is from RNAcentral.